CAAUAAGCGGUGGAAAAGAAACCAACCGGGAUUCCCUUAGUAACGGCGAGCGAACAGGGAUGAGCCCAGUAUGUAAAUCUCCAGCCUUUGGCUGGCGAAUUGUAGUCUGGAGGAGUGUUCCCUGGGUGGGUGCUAGCCGAAGUAUACUGGAAGGUAUCGCUCUAGAGGGUGAGAGCCCCGUAGGCCAGUCUUCCCGCCCUUCACGGGACGCUUUCGAAGAGUCGGGUUGUUUGGGAAUGCAGCCCUAAUUUGGUGGUAAACCCCAUCUAAGGCUAAAUACCAAUGGGAGACCGAUAGCGAAAAAGUACCUCGAGGGAACGAUGAAAAGACCGCUGGCAAGCGAGUAAAAGAGUGCAUGAAAUUGUGUAGUGGGAAGGGAUGGCCCGGUAGCAUGCGCUCGGGUUGAUGUGGUUCGUCAGAACUGCUGUCUGCACUGAGUGCUGGCUGGUACCGGCGCCUCUGGCCGUAUAACACCCUGCUGAGAUGCAAGGCGCUGCGGGCAGAGGUGCCGAGGUUGAUCAGUGCUUUGCCCCUUCGGGGAGCUGCUCUGACAGGGUACCAGCUGAAGCCGGUCCAUCUGCCCGUCUUG
Molecule: ribosomal RNA, 589 nt
Filed under: Aegagropila linnaei
Lineage: Eukaryota; Viridiplantae; Chlorophyta; Ulvophyceae; Cladophorales; Pithophoraceae
Description: LSU rRNA
Rfam family: Eukaryotic large subunit ribosomal RNA
Source: RNAcentral